UACGUAGGUGGCAAGCGUUGUCCGGAAUUAUUGGGCGUAAAGCGCACGUAGGCGGAUCUUUAAGUCAGGGGUGAAAUCCCGAGGCUCAACCUCGGAACUGCCUUUGAUACUGGGGAUCUCGAGUCCGGGAGAGGUGAGUGGAACUGCGAGUGUAGAGGUGAAAUUCGUAGAUAUUCGCAAGAACACCAGUGGCGAAGGCGGCUCACUGGCCCGAUACUGACGCUGAGGCGCGAAAGCGUGGGGAGCAAACAGG
Molecule: ribosomal RNA, 253 nt
Filed under: uncultured bacterium
Lineage: Bacteria
Description: partial 16S ribosomal RNA
Rfam family: Bacterial small subunit ribosomal RNA
Source: RNAcentral